GAACGCUGGCGGUAGGCCUAACACAUGCAAGUCGAACGGCAGCACAGUAAGAGCUUGCUCUUACGGGUGGCGAGUGGCGGACGGGUGAGGAAUACAUCGGAAUCUACUUUUUCGUGGGGGAUAACGUAGGGAAACUUACGCUAAUACCGCAUACGACCUACGGGUGAAAGCAGGGGAUCUUCGGACCUUGCGCGAUUGAAUGAGCCGAUGUCGGAUUAGCUAGUUGGCGGGGUAAAGGCCCACCAAGGCGACGAUCCGUAGCUGGUCUGAGAGGAUGAUCAGCCACACUGGAACUGAGACACGGUCCAGACUCCUACGGGAGGCAGCAGUGGGGAAUAUUGGACAAUGGGCGCAAGCCUGAUCCAGCCAUACCGCGUGGGUGAAGAAGACCUUCGGGUUGUAAAGCCCUUUUGUUGGGAAAGAAAAGCAGCAGGUUAAUACCCCGCUGUUCUGACGGUACCCAAAGAAUAAGCACCGGCUAACUUCGUG
This 489-nucleotide ribosomal RNA is filed under the name uncultured bacterium. RNAcentral's name for it is "partial 16S ribosomal RNA". It matches the Rfam family "Bacterial small subunit ribosomal RNA", at positions 31 to 507 of the family's 1533-position model. The record is from RNAcentral.